GCUGCAAGACUUAAGAUAAAUGAAGAAUUCAAAAGUAAUAAAGAUGAGACUUCUCCUGAAAAAAUAGCUGAGCUUAUAAAAUUAGCUUCAGAUGUGGAAGUUAUACUUAAAACAUGUGUCCUACAAGGUGUUUAUGUGGAUGCCAACAAAAUAAAGCUUUUACCAAGAAAGGAGGUACUACGAGACAAUGCCCCAUACUGUGACACACCGAAGCAAAAGACAUGAAUAGAAUAUUUUUUUUAAUUAAUUAACAAUGUUAUUUAAUUUCUUUUAAAAUAAAAUUGCUUUCCUAUAAUAGUGACCUAAAUAAAAUGUUCAACAUGAAAAAUGUCAA
This is a non-coding RNA of Thamnophis sirtalis, 334 nucleotides long. NCBI's taxonomy places the organism in Eukaryota, Metazoa, Chordata, Lepidosauria, Squamata, Natricidae. The record is from RefSeq and is a predicted model, not a curated record.